GGACUGGUAUCUAAAAGCAAAGGAAAAGGAGCCAAUCGCUACCUGACUGUAAGGAAGAAGGAUGUAUCAGAGGCACACGCAGGCAUGACUUGUGGCUUGGCUCUCCGUACGAAACACGCUGUUCGGAGUCUGAUUCAGCGCUUUCCCGUCACAAAUAAGGAAGGCACGGAACUCCUGCCAAGGACAGAGCGAGGAAAUGCCUGUGCUGUUGAAUCUGAAAACAAAGAAGUAA
Long non-coding RNA from Vidua macroura (Pin-tailed whydah), 232 nucleotides. RefSeq lists it as uncharacterized. The record is from RefSeq and is a predicted model, not a curated record. The transcript has 3 exons. NCBI's taxonomy places the organism in Eukaryota, Metazoa, Chordata, Aves, Passeriformes, Viduidae.